GAUGAACGCUGGCGGCGUGCCUAAUACAUGCAAGUCGAGCGAACGGACGAGAAGCUUGCUUCUCUGAUGUUAGCGGCGGACGGGUGAGUAACACGUGGAUAACCUACCUAUAAGACUGGGAUAACUUCGGGAAACCGUAGCUAAUACCGGAUAAUAUUUUGAACCGCAUGGUUCAAAAGUGAAAGACGGUCUUGCUGUCACUUAUAGAUGGAUCCGCGCUGCAUUAGCUAGUUGGUAAGGUAACGGCUUACCAAGGCAACGAUGCAUAGCCGACCUGAGAGGGUGAUCGGCCACACUGGAACUAAGACACGGUCCUGACUCCUACGGGAGGCAGCAGUAGGGAAUCUUCCGCAAUGGGCGAAAGCCUGACGGAGCCACGCCGCGCGCGUGAUGAAGGUCUUCGGAUCGUAAAACUCUGUUAUUAGGGAAGAACAUAUGUGUAAGUAACUGUGCACAUCUUGACGGUACCUAAUCAGAAAGCCACGGCUAACUACGUG
RNAcentral lists this ribosomal RNA (497 nucleotides) under uncultured bacterium. Its description in RNAcentral is "partial 16S ribosomal RNA". It matches the Rfam family "Bacterial small subunit ribosomal RNA", at positions 28 to 507 of the family's 1533-position model. The record is from RNAcentral.